This is a non-coding RNA of Ixodes scapularis (black-legged tick), 82 nucleotides long. The record is from Rfam. Lineage: Eukaryota; Metazoa; Arthropoda; Arachnida; Ixodida; Ixodidae.
GCAGUCGUGGCCGAGUGGUUAAGGUGAUGGACUAGAAAUCUUUUGGGGUCUCCCCGCACAGGUUCGAAUCCUGUGGACUGCG